AACGAACGCUGGCGGCGCGUCUUACACAUGCAAGUCGAACGGCAGGAAGGGGCUUGCCCCUUCUGAGAGUGGCGGACUGGUGAGUAACACGUGGGUGACAUACCUUUUAGUUGGGGAUAGCUAUUAGAAAUAGUAGGUAAUACCGAAUGUGACCGUACCUGUUAGAGGGGUACGAGGAAAGGAGCUAAGGCUUCGCUAAAAGAAUGGCUCGCGGCCCAUUAUGCUCGUUGGUGAGGUAACGGCCCACCAAGGCGAUGAUGGGUAUCCGGCCUGAGAGGGUGAACGGACACAUUAGGACUGAGAUACGGCCCAGACUUCUACGGGAGGCAGCAGUUAAGAAUAUUCCGCAAUGGACGAAAGUCUGACGGAGCGACGCCGCGUGGAUGAAGAAUGCCGAAAGGUUGUAAAAUCCUUUUAAGCCUGAUGAAUAAGCACAGUAGGGAAUGAUUGUGCGGUGACCGUAGGGCUUGAAUAAGCACCGGCUAAUUACGUG
Molecule: ribosomal RNA, 493 nt
Filed under: uncultured bacterium
Lineage: Bacteria
Description: partial 16S ribosomal RNA
Rfam family: Bacterial small subunit ribosomal RNA
Source: RNAcentral